AAUUUAAANNNNUACACCUAAAAUUAUAUCUUAAUCCAACAUCGAGGUCGCAAUCUUUUUUAUCAAUAUGAACUUUCCAAAAAAAUUACGCUGUUAUCCCUAAAGUAACUUAAAUUUUUAAUCAAUAUAAUUGGAUCAAUUAUUCAUAAAUUAAUGAUUUAAAUUUUUAAAAGUUAAUUAAAUUUUAAUAUCACCCCAAUAAAAUAUAUUUUUUUAUUAUAAUUAAAAUAAUCUUUAAAAUUAAAAUAAUAAAUAUAUAAAGAUUUAUAGGGUCUUCUCGUCUUUUAAUUAAAUUUUAACUUUUUAAUUAAAAAAUAAAAUUUUAUUAAAAUUUUAAAUGAAACAGUUAAUAUUUCGUCCAACCAUUCAUUCCAGCCUUCAAUUAAAAGACUAAUGAUUAUGCUACCUUUGCACAGUUAAAAUACUGCGGCCAUUAAAAAAAU
This 443-nucleotide ribosomal RNA is filed under the name Melanostoma apicale. Its description in RNAcentral is "partial 16S ribosomal RNA". Lineage: Eukaryota; Metazoa; Arthropoda; Insecta; Diptera; Syrphidae. The record is from RNAcentral.